CAGCAGCCGCGGUAAUACGUAGGGUGCAAGCGUUAAUCGGAAUUACUGGGCGUAAAGCGUGCGCAGGCGGUUUGUUAAGACAGAUGUGAAAUCCCCGGGCUCAACCUGGGAACUGCAUUUGUGACUGGCAAGCUAGAGUAUGGCAGAGGGGGAUGGAAUUCCGCGUGUAGCAGUGAAAUGCGUAGAUAUGCGGAGGAACACCGAUGGCGAAGGCAAUCCCCUGGGCCUGUACUGACGCUCAUGCACGAAAGCGUGGGGAGCAAACAGGAUUAGAUACCCCGGUAGUCCCUGUCUCUUAUAC
This 301-nucleotide ribosomal RNA is filed under the name uncultured bacterium. RNAcentral describes it as "partial 16S ribosomal RNA". It matches the Rfam family "Bacterial small subunit ribosomal RNA", at positions 509 to 807 of the family's 1533-position model. The record is from RNAcentral.